RNAcentral lists this ribosomal RNA (353 nucleotides) under uncultured soil bacterium. Its description in RNAcentral is "bacterial SSU rRNA". It matches the Rfam family "Bacterial small subunit ribosomal RNA", at positions 26 to 382 of the family's 1533-position model. The record is from RNAcentral.
AGAUUGAACGCUGGCGGCAUGCCUUACACAUGCAAGUCGAACGGUAGAGUAGCAAUACUCGAGAGUGGCGAACGGGUGAGUAAUAUAAUCGGAACGUGCCCAGCCGUGGGGGAUAACGUAGAGAAAUUUACGCUAAUACCGCAUACGAUCUACGGAUGAAAGCGGGGGAUCGCAAGACCUCGCGCGAUUGGAGCGGCUGAUAUCAGAUUAGGUUGUUGGUGAGGUAAAAGCUCACCAAGCCGACGAUCUGUAGCUGGUUUGAGAGAACGACCAGACCACACUGGGACUGAGACACGGCCCAGGACUCCUACGGAGCAGACGAGUGGGUAAUUUGGAACAAAGUGGACGAAAGU